This 253-nucleotide ribosomal RNA is filed under the name uncultured bacterium. RNAcentral's name for it is "partial 16S ribosomal RNA". It matches the Rfam family "Bacterial small subunit ribosomal RNA", at positions 524 to 776 of the family's 1533-position model. The record is from RNAcentral.
UACGAAGGGUGCAAACGUUGCUCGGAAUCAUUGGGCGUACAGCGCACGUAGGCGGCCUGUUAAGUCGGAUGUGAAAUCCCUCGGCUCAACCGAGGACGUGCACCCGAAACUGACAGGCUCGAGUAUGGAAGAGGGUCGCAGAAUUCCCGGUGUAGAGGUGAAAUUCGUAGAUAUCGGGAGGAAUACCAGUGGCGAAGGCGGCGACCUGGGCCAAUACUGACGCUGAGGUGCGAAAGCGUGGGGAGCAAACAGG